Molecule: ribosomal RNA, 293 nt
Filed under: uncultured bacterium
Lineage: Bacteria
Description: partial 16S ribosomal RNA
Rfam family: Bacterial small subunit ribosomal RNA
Source: RNAcentral
UUCUCCUACGGGACGCAGCAGUGGGGAAUAUUGCACAAUGGGGGAAACCCUGAUGCAGCGACGCCGCGUGAGUGAAGAAGUAAUUCGUUAUGUAAAUCUCUAUCAGCAGGGAAGAAAAUGACGGUACCUGAGUAAGAAGCCCCGGCUAACUACGUGCCAGCAGCAGCGGUAAUACGUAGGGGGCAAGCGUUAUCCGGAUUUACUGGGUGUAAAGGGAGCGUAGACGGCGGUGCAAGUCUGGAGUGAAAGGCGGGGGCUCAACCCCCGGACUGCUCUGGGAACUGUACGGCUGG